CCCUGACAGCCGCAUAGUGCGACUGACAUAACCCGUGACAGGAGAUACAUAUG
RNAcentral lists this non-coding RNA (53 nucleotides) under unclassified sequences. RNAcentral's name for it is "Mu-gpT-DE RNA". It matches the Rfam family "Mu-gpT-DE RNA". The record is from Rfam by way of RNAcentral.